AUUUCAUAAACGCCUUUUGGUGCCCCAUCAGGGGAGAAUAGGGAAGUCAGGUGCAAGUCCUGCGCGGUCCCGCCGCUGUAACCGGAGAGCCGAUAAAACCACUGCUUUUUGCGGGAAGGUUUUAUCAAAGGGCAAUGACCCGGAAGCCAGAAGACCUGCCAAAAGGUGGAGCUUUAG
This 177-nucleotide non-coding RNA is filed under the name Carboxydothermus hydrogenoformans. The record is from RNAcentral. Lineage: Bacteria; Bacillati; Bacillota; Clostridia; Thermoanaerobacterales; Thermoanaerobacteraceae. RNAcentral also lists the same sequence under 1 other name.